ACAAUGGAGAGUUUGAUCCUGGCUCAGGAUUAACGCUAGCGGCAGGCCUAAUACAUGCAAGUCGAACGGGAUUUCGGGUAGCAAUAUCUGAAUGAGAGUGGCGCACGGGUGCGUAACGCGUAUGCAAUCUACCUUUAACUGGGGAAUAGCCCUCCGAAAGGAGGAUUAACACCGCAUAAUACUAUGAUGGGGCAUCUCAAUGUAGUCAAAACUCAGGUGGUUAAAGAUGAGCAUGCGUCCGAUUAGCUAGUUGGUGAGGUAAUGGCUCACCAAGGCGACGAUCGGUAGGGGGUCUGAGAGGAUGAUCCCCCACACUGGUACUGAGACACGGACCAGACUCCUACGGGAGGCAGCAGUAAGGAAUAUUGGACAAUGGGCGCAAGCCUGAUCCAGCUAUGCCGCGUGAAGGAUGACGGCCCUAUGGGUUGUAAACUUCUUUUAGCAGGGAAAAAACCCCUCGAUGCGUUGAGGGCUGAUGGUACCUGCAGAAUAAGGAUCGGCUAACUCCGUGCCAGCAGCCGCGGUAAUACGGAGGAUCCAAGCGUUAUCCGGAUUUAUUGGGUUUAAAGGGUGCGUAGGCGGAUAAAUAAGUCAGU
RNAcentral lists this ribosomal RNA (596 nucleotides) under Bacteroidia bacterium. RNAcentral describes it as "bacterial SSU rRNA". It matches the Rfam family "Bacterial small subunit ribosomal RNA", at positions 1 to 592 of the family's 1533-position model. Lineage: Bacteria; Pseudomonadati; Bacteroidota; Bacteroidia. The record is from RNAcentral.